RNAcentral lists this ribosomal RNA (410 nucleotides) under uncultured Bacteroidota bacterium. RNAcentral's name for it is "bacterial SSU rRNA". It matches the Rfam family "Bacterial small subunit ribosomal RNA", at positions 413 to 820 of the family's 1533-position model. The record is from RNAcentral. Lineage: Bacteria; Pseudomonadati; Bacteroidota.
GGCCCUAUGGGUUGUAAACUGCUUUUAUACACCAAGAAAAACCCCGACGUGUCGGGACUCGACGGUAGUGUAUGAAUAAGCAUCGGCUAACUCCGUGCCAGCAGCCGCGGUAAUACGGAGGAUGCAAGCGUUAUCCGGAUUCAUUGGGUUUAAAGGGUGCGUAGGCGGCCUUUUAAGUCAGUGGUGAAAUCCUGCCGCUUAACGGUAGAAUUGCCAUUGAUACUGAAGGGCUUGAGUACAUUUGAGGUAAGCGGAAUGUGUAGUGUAGCGGUGAAAUGCUUAGAUAUUACACAGAACACCAAUUGCGAAGGCAGCUUACUAAACUGUUACUGACGCUGAUGCACGAAAGCGUGGGGAGCGAACAGGAUUAGAUACCCUGGUAGUCCACGCCGUAAACGAUGCUCACUCGC